Molecule: non-coding RNA, 111 nt
Organism: Glycine soja
Lineage: Eukaryota; Viridiplantae; Streptophyta; Magnoliopsida; Fabales; Fabaceae
Source: Rfam
UUAUUAAUGAGUAAUGUUGACUGUCACGUGUCAUCAUCAUUUUAUUGGAUGUUAAUUUUCAUACACCAUUUUAACGUCCAAUAGGAUUAUGACAUGUGACAGUCAACAUUA